RNAcentral lists this transfer RNA (28 nucleotides) under Cnesterodon hypselurus. Its description in RNAcentral is "partial tRNA-Thr". Lineage: Eukaryota; Metazoa; Chordata; Actinopteri; Cyprinodontiformes; Poeciliidae. The record is from RNAcentral.
GCACUAGUAGCUCAGUUCCAGAGCGUCG